RNAcentral lists this non-coding RNA (26 nucleotides) under Candidatus Arsenophonus nilaparvatae str. Hanzhou. Its description in RNAcentral is "L25-Gammaproteobacteria ribosomal protein leader". It matches the Rfam family "L25-Gammaproteobacteria ribosomal protein leader". The record is from RNAcentral. Lineage: Bacteria; Pseudomonadati; Pseudomonadota; Gammaproteobacteria; Enterobacterales; Morganellaceae.
UCUGCCACUGGGUCGCCUGUUGCAGA